UUUGAUCCUGGCUCAGGAUGAACGCUAGCGGCAGGCCUAAUACAUGCAAGCUGAACGGCAAGAGCUUUAGCAAUAGAGUUCCUAGAGUAGCGUAAGGGUGCGUAACACGUAUGCAAUCUACCCACAACAGGAGGAUAGCUCCCCGAAAGGGGAAUUAAGACUCCAUAAUAUCAUAUGAGGGCAUCUGAGUAUGAUUAAAGUACAAGCGGUUGUGGAUGAGCAUGCGUCUGAUUAGUUAGUUGGCGGGGUAACGGCCCACCAAGACGAUGAUCAGUAGGGGAACUGAGAGGUUGGUCCCCCACACUGGCACUGAGAUACGGGCCAGACUCCUACGGGAGGCAGCAGUAGGGAAUAUUGGACAAUGGGUGCAAGCCUGAUCCAGCCAUGCCGCGUGCAGGAAGAAGGCCUUCUGGGUCGUAAACUGCUUUUACCGGGGGAUAAAAUACUCGUGCGCGAGGAAUUGAAAGUACCUGGUGAAUAAGCCACGGCUAACUACGUGCCAGCAGCCGCGGUAAUACGUAGGUGGCAAGCGUUGUCCGGAUUUAUUGGGUUUAAAGGGUGCGUAGGCGGUCCUGUAAGUCAGUUGUGAAAUACGGCAGCUUAACUGUCGAGGUGCAAUUGAUACUGCAGGACUUGAGUACUGAUGAGGUAGGCGGAAUGGACGGUGUAGCGGUGAAAUGCUUAGAUAUUACACAGAACACCGAUUGCGAAGGCAGCUUACUAAACUGUUACUGACGCUGAUGCACGAAGCGUGGGGAGCGAACAGGAUUAGAUACCCUGGUAGUCCACGCCGUAAACGAUGCUCACUCGCUGUUUGCGAUACACAGCAAGCGGCCAAGCGAAAGCAUUAAGUGAGCCACCUGGGGAGUACGAUCGCAAGGUUGAAACUCAAAGGAAUUGACGGGGGCCCGCACAAGCGGAGGAACAUGUGGUUUAAUUCGAUGAUACGCGAGGAACCUUUACCUGGGCUU
Molecule: ribosomal RNA, 971 nt
Filed under: uncultured bacterium
Lineage: Bacteria
Description: bacterial SSU rRNA
Rfam family: Bacterial small subunit ribosomal RNA
Source: RNAcentral